UACUAUUUACUAAUUUUAGGGGACAGCCCACCAAUAGAAAAAAAGAAAAUAUAAUGGGUGGGUCUUUAAGGAUUGUACUUUGCUAAUAAUCAUACGUUUAGGUCAAAAUAAAUUAAUAAAUGGAAUGUAAAGAUCUUGGAUGUCAGCUCGAUUAAUUGAGCAUGGCCUUUUAAUCUCACUAGCUAGACAAAAUAUAUUUGUAAAGUAGCUUCUUUUUUUUUGUGUUUUUUAUAUCAUUAGUAAGGAGAUAAAUAUGUAAGAAUAUAUAGGAG
This 272-nucleotide long non-coding RNA is filed under the name Panax ginseng (ginseng). RNAcentral describes it as "long non-coding RNA (PGIN_LNC012698)". The record is from RNAcentral. Lineage: Eukaryota; Viridiplantae; Streptophyta; Magnoliopsida; Apiales; Araliaceae.